This 870-nucleotide small RNA is filed under the name Pichia sp. B3_2_3_SC12. RNAcentral describes it as "eukaryotic LSU rRNA". The stretch from base 475 to 870 matches the Rfam family "Eukaryotic large subunit ribosomal RNA", at positions 1 to 394 of the family's 3401-position model. The record is from RNAcentral. Lineage: Eukaryota; Fungi; Ascomycota; Pichiomycetes; Pichiales; Pichiaceae.
CACAGUGUCUUUUUGAUACAGAACUCUUGCUUUGGUUUGGCCUAGAGAUAGGUUGGGCCAGAGGUUUAACAAAACACAAUUUAAUUAUUUUUACAGUUAGUCAAAUUUUGAAUUAAUCUUCAAAACUUUCAACAACGGAUCUCUUGGUUCUCGCAUCGAUGAAGAACGCAGCGAAAUGCGAUAAGUAAUAUGAAUUGCAGAUUUUCGUGAAUCAUCGAAUCUUUGAACGCACAUUGCGCCCUCUGGUAUUCCAGAGGGCAUGCCUGUUUGAGCGUCAUUUCUCUCUCAAACCCCCGGGUUUGGUAUUGAGUGAUACUCUUAGUCGGACUAGGCGUUUGCUUGAAAAGUAUUGGCAUGGGUAGUACUGGAUAGUGCUGUCGACCUCUCAAUGUAUUAGGUUUAUCCAACUCGUUGAAUGGUGUGGCGGGAUAUUUCUGGUAUUGUUGGCCCGGCCUUACAACAACCAAACAAGCUUGACCUCAAAUCAGGUAGGAAUACCCGCUGAACUUAAGCAUAUCAAUAAGCGGAGGAAAAGAAACCAACAGGGAUUGCCUUAGUAGCGGCGAGUGAAGCGGCAAAAGCUCAAAUUUGAAAUCUGGCGCCUUCGGUGUCCGAGUUGUAAUUUGAAGAUUGUAACCUUGGGGUUGGCUCUUGUCUAUGUUUCUUGGAACAGGACGUCACAGAGGGUGAGAAUCCCGUGCGAUGAGAUGCCCAAUUCUAUGUAAGGUGCUUUCGAAGAGUCGAGUUGUUUGGGAAUGCAGCUCUAAGUGGGUGGUAAAUUCCAUCUAAAGCUAAAUAUUGGCGAGAGACCGAUAGCGAACAAGUACAGUGAUGGAAAGAUGAAAAGAACUUUGAAAAGAGAGUGAAAAA